RNAcentral lists this transfer RNA (78 nucleotides) under Acidobacteriota bacterium. Its description in RNAcentral is "tRNA-Pro". It matches the Rfam family "tRNA". From Rfam's summary of the family: Transfer RNA (tRNA) molecules are approximately 80 nucleotides in length. Their secondary structure includes four short double-helical elements and three loops (D, anti-codon, and T loops). Lineage: Bacteria; Pseudomonadati; Acidobacteriota. The record is from RNAcentral.
CGGGCUGUGGCGCAGCCUGGCUAGCGCGCUUGCUUGGGGUGCAAGUGGUCCCGGGUUCAAAUCCCGGCAGCCCGACCA